AACGCACAUUGCGCCCUUUGGUAUUCCUUAGGGCAUGCCUGUUCGAGCGUCAUUUAAACCCUCAAGCACAGCUUGGUGUUGGGCGUCUGUCUCCCCAGGGGACUCGCCUCAAAUGCAUUGGCAGCCGGUACGUUGGCUUCGAGCGCAGCAGAAAAGCGCCUGGCGUCUGACGGUACGGGCUCUCCAGCAAGCCUCUUCUAUAUUUUGACCUCGGAUCAGGUAGGGAUACCCGCUGAACUUAA
RNAcentral lists this unclassified non-coding RNA (242 nucleotides) under uncultured fungus. RNAcentral describes it as "sequence contains ITS2". Lineage: Eukaryota; Fungi. The record is from RNAcentral.